AUAAAAGGUAAAAACCUGGCUUACCAUAAACGAGCCUGCCAGCAUCUGCGUGGAUACCUACGAGAAUGGAGACGGAGCUCCGGGAAUCGUAUCCAGAGGCGUGGGCAGCUACAUUUGUGGGAAAAACGUGUUAAUAGCGCACGCCAAAGCCUACAAAAUAUACAAAGACGAGUUUAAGCAGUCUCAGAGAGGUAAAGUGGGCAUUACCAUUGAUUCCAUAUGGGCUGAUGCCAAAACGCCAGAUGAUCGGGAUGCUGCGAAUAGGGAGAUGCAAAUGUCGUUCGGCUGGUUCGCCCAUCCCAUAUUCUCCGCCACUGGAGACUAUCCGGACGUCAUGAAAUCCACCAUAGCCGCCCGCAGCCGAAGCCAAAACUACUCGACGUCCAGACUACCGGAUUUUACCCCCUCGGAGUUAGAUUCCCUCAAAAGAUCCGCCGAUUUCCUCGGCCUGAACCACUACAACACCUGGAUGGCCUAUUCCAAACAUUUUCCCGUCUCCGAGGUGUCCUUCGCCGCGGACAAAGGCACCGGAUUGGUCAGGGAUCCGAAAUUGCGCGAUCCCACGUUGGCACCCGAAGGCUUUAGGAAGUUGCUGAACUGGAUCAAGGAAGAGUACGGGAACCCGUUGGUUUACGUGACGGAAAACGGCGUGGGGGAUUCCGGAGGAAGUCUUGAAGAUCAGCACCGUGUGACGUUUCUGCAGGAGUACCUGCACGCUCUGUUCCUGGCCGUGGAGCAGGACGGAUGCAACGUGCAAAGGUAUACCGUGUGGAGUAUCAUGGAUAACAUGGAGUGGACUGCUGGAUACACUGUUAAAUUUGGCCUGUACCACGUGGAUUUCAAGAGCCUCCGAAGGACAAGAACUCCGAAAAGUUCGGCUUAUUUUUUCGAAGGUUACUGUAGUGCGCUGUCCGAUGUGGAGGUUUCUCUGGUAUAGCAAUAUGGUACCACUGCAGUUAAGAAAUAUAUCCAUUAAAUCAGAAGGACACAAGCAAGAAGUAUCCAGAGUAGAUAUUGUUAUGUCAUAUAUAAUAUAUGUAUACUAUGUAGCCAGAGUACUGAAAAAUAAUUUUAAGUGGAAGAUCUUAGAAUUAAUUUACGAAUCAAGUUUUUUUUCUUGACGAAAUGGCGAAUGCGCCUAUUAAAGGAAACUUAAUACUUAGAAAUUGCCUGAAUUAUUAAGGUAGAAGUACGCUAAUUCAACUGGUUAUAGAUAAGUAUCGUAUGAUCGAAGAAAAAACGGCGUCAGCGAUGGCUAUGAAAUGAAGAUCGCUGUCAUUUUAUAUGUAGAUUUAUAUGGGAAAUAUCGAUCGCCAUUUCCCAGCCAACUGGACGACGUUU
This 1341-nucleotide unclassified non-coding RNA is filed under the name Sitophilus oryzae (rice weevil). RNAcentral describes it as "myrosinase 1-like, transcript variant X2". Lineage: Eukaryota; Metazoa; Arthropoda; Insecta; Coleoptera; Curculionidae. The record is from RNAcentral.